CAUAGGUUAAUGAGGCGAACCGGGGGAACUGAAACAUCUAAGUACCCCGAGGAAAAGAAAUCAACCGAGAUUCCCCCAGUAGCGGCGAGCGAACGGGGAGCAGCCCAGAGCCUGAAUCAGUGUGUGUGUUAGUGGAAGCGUCUGGAAAGGCGUGCGAUACAGGGUGACAGCCCCGUACACAAAAAUGCACAUAUUGUGAGCUCGAUGAGUAGGGCGGGACACGUGGUAUCCUGUCUGAAUAUGGGGGGACCAUCCUCCAAGGCUAAAUACUCCUGACUGACCGAUAGUGAACCAGUACCGUGAGGGAAAGGCGAAAAGAACCCCGGCGAGGGGAGUGAAAAAGAACCUGAAACCGUGUACGUACAAGCAGUGGGAGCACGCUUAGGCGUGUGACUGCGUACCUUUUGUAUAAUGGGUCAGCGACUUAUAUUCUGUAGCAAGGUUAACCGAAUAGGGGAGCCGAAGGGAAACCGAGUCUUAACUGGGCGUUAAGUUGCAGGGUAUAGACCCGAAACCCGGUGAUCUAGCCAUGGGCAGGUUGAAGGUUGGGUAACACUAACUGGAGGACCGAACCGACUAAUGUUGAAAAAUUAGCGGAUGACUUGUGGCUGGGGGUGAAAGGCCAAU
This 627-nucleotide ribosomal RNA is filed under the name Escherichia coli. RNAcentral's name for it is "partial 23S ribosomal RNA". It matches the Rfam family "Bacterial large subunit ribosomal RNA", at positions 165 to 833 of the family's 2925-position model. The record is from RNAcentral. Lineage: Bacteria; Pseudomonadati; Pseudomonadota; Gammaproteobacteria; Enterobacterales; Enterobacteriaceae.